UAAAAAAAUUUCUAUCUAUUUUUACCAUUAAAAACUGAAAUGAUUGACAAAAUAACCAAACAGUUACAUAUAGCAUGUCACAUGUAUCUCGUACUGAUAUAUAUGAACUAGUUUUUAAUAGUAGAAAUGGAUAAAACUUUUA
This is a non-coding RNA of Gossypium raimondii (Peruvian cotton), 142 nucleotides long. The record is from Rfam. Lineage: Eukaryota; Viridiplantae; Streptophyta; Magnoliopsida; Malvales; Malvaceae.